Macaca fascicularis (crab-eating macaque) is the source of this 2148-nucleotide long non-coding RNA. Lineage: Eukaryota; Metazoa; Chordata; Mammalia; Primates; Cercopithecidae. The record is from Ensembl.
AUGAUUUCCACAGGGACAAUCUCAUGUAACGGAACCUGUCCUGGUUCAACAAUGAUUUCCACAGGGACAAUCUCAUGUAACGGAACCUGUCCUGGUCCAACAACGAUUUCCACAGGGACGAUCUCACCCAACGAAACCUGUCCUGGUUCGACAGUGAUUUCCACAGGGACAAUCUCACCCAACGGAACCUGUCCUGGUCCGACAACGAUUUCCACAGGGACGAUCUCACCCAACGAAACCUGUCCUGGUUCGACAGUGAUUUCCACAGGGAUGAUCUCACCUAACGGAACCUGUCCUGGUUCGACAGUGAUUUCCACAGGGAUGAUCUCACCCAACAGAACCUGUCCUGGUUCAACAACGAUUUCCACAGGGACGAUCUCACCUAACGGAACCUGUCCUGGUCCAACAACGAUUUCCACAGGGACGAUCUCACCCAACGGAACCUGUCCUGGUCCAACAACGAUUUCCACAGGGACGAUCUCACCCAACAGAACCUGUCCUGGUUCAACAACAAUUUCUACAGGGACGAUCUCACCCAACGGAACCUGUCCUGGUUCAACAACAAUUUCUACAGGGACGAUCUCACCCAACGGAACCUGUCCUGGUCCAACAACGAUUUCCACAGGGACGAUCUCACCCAACGGAACCUGUCCUGGUUCAACAACGAUUUCCACAGGGACAAUCUCAUGUAACGGAACCUGUCCUGGUUCAACAACGAUUUCCACAGGGACAAUCUCAUGUAACGGAACCUGUCCUGGUUCAACAAUGAUUUCCACAGGGACAAUCUCAUGUAACGGAACCUGUCCUGGUUCAACAAUGAUUUCCACAGGGACAAUCUCAUGUAACGGAACCUGUCCUGGUUCAACAAUGAUUUCCACAGGGACAAUCUCAUGUAACGGAACCUGUCCUGGUUCAACAAUGAUUUCCACAGGGACAAUCUCAUGUAACAGAACCUGUCCUGGUCCAACAACGAUUUCCACAGGGACGAUCUCACCCAACAGAACCUGUCCUGGUUCGACAGUGAUUUCCACAGGGACAAUCUCACCCAACGGAACCUGUCCUGGUCCAACAACGAUUUCCACAGGGACGAUCUCACCCAACGGAACCUGUCCUGGUUCAACAAGGAUUUCCACAGGGACGAUCUCACCCAACAGAACCUGUCCUGGUUCAACAACAAUUUCCACAGGGACGAUCUCACCUAACGGAACCUGUCCUGGUCCAACAACGAUUUCCACAGGGACGAUCUCACCCAACGGAACCUGUCCUGGUCCAACAACGAUUUCCACAGGGACGAUCUCACCCAACGGAACCUGUCCUGGUUCGACAGUGAUUUCCACAGGGACGAUCUCACCCAACAGAACCUGUCCUGGUUCAACAACAAUUUCUACAGGGACGAUCUCACCCAACGGAACCUGUCCUGGUCCAACAACGAUUUCCACAGGGACGAUCUCACCCAACGUAACCUGUCCUGGUUCAACAAGGAUUUCCACAGGGACAAUCUCAUGUAACGGAACCUGUCCUGGUCCAACAACGAUUUCCACAGGGACGAUCUCACCCAACGGAACCUGUCCUGGUUCAACAAGGAUUUCCACAGGGACAAUCUCAUGUAACAGAACCUGUCCUGGUCCAACAACGAUUUCCACAGGGACGAUCUCACCCAACGAAACCUGUCCUGGUUCGACAGUGAUUUCCACAGGGACAAUCUCACCCAACGGAACCUGUCCUGGUCCAACAACGAUUUCCACAGGGACGAUCUCACCCAACGGAACCUGUCCUGGUCCAACAACGAUUUCCACAGGGACGAUCUCACCCAACAGAACCUGUCCUGGUUCGACAGUGAUUUCCACAGGGACAAUCUCACCCAACGGAACCUGUCCUGGUCCAACAACGAUUUCCACAGGGACGAUCUCACCCAACGGAACCUGUCCUGGUUCGACAGUGAUUUCCACAGGGACGAUCUCACCCAACGGAACCUGUCCUGGUUCGACAGUGAUUUCCACAGGGACAAUCUCACCCAACGGAAACUGUCCUGGUCCAACAAGGAUUUCCACAGGGACGAUCUCACCCAACGGAACCUGUCCUGGUUCGACAGUGAUUUCCACAGGGACGAUCUCACCCAACGGAACCUGUCCUGGGAAUGAAGUUUAG